This 566-nucleotide ribosomal RNA is filed under the name uncultured bacterium. RNAcentral describes it as "partial 16S ribosomal RNA". It matches the Rfam family "Bacterial small subunit ribosomal RNA", at positions 355 to 911 of the family's 1533-position model. The record is from RNAcentral.
UGGGGAAUCUUCCGCAAUGGACGAAAGUCUGACGGAGCAACGCCGCGUGAGUGAAGAAGGUUUUCGGAUCGUAAAACUCUGUCUUUUGGGGCGAACGUGAGUAUGGUGAACAAUCAUAGUCAGUGACGGUACCAAAGGAGGAAGCCACGGCUAACUACGUGCCAGCAGCCGCGGUAAUACGUAGGUGGCAAGCGUUGUCCGGAAUUAUUGGGCGUAAAGAGCGCGUAGGCGGGAUAGUCAGUCUGUUGUAAAAGUGCGGGGCUCAACCCCGUGAUGGCAAUGGAAACAGCUAUUCUUGAGUGCAGGAGAGGAAAGUGGAAUUCCCAGUGUAGCGGUGAAAUGCGUAGAUAUUGGGAGGAACACCAGUGGCGAAGGCGACUUUCUGGACUGUGUCUGACGCUGAGGCGCGAAAGCCAGGGGAGCGAACGGGAUUAGAUACCCCGGUAGUCCUGGCCGUAAACGAUGGGUACUAGGUGUGGGGGGUAUCGACCCCUUCCGUGCCGGAGUUAACGCAAUAAGUACCCCGCCUGGGGAGUACGGUCGCAAGACUGAAACUUAAAUGAAUU